CUGAGAGGAAGGUCCCCCACAUUGGUACUGAGACACGGACCAAACUCCUACGGGAGGCAGCAGUGAGGAAUAUUGGUCAAUGGCCGAGAGGCUGAACCAGCCAAGUCGCGUGAAGGAAGAAGGAUCUAUGGUUUGUAAACUUCUUUUAUAGGGGAAUAAAGUGGAGGACGUGUCCUUUUUUGUAUGUACCCUAUGAAUAAGCAUCGGCUAACUCCGUGCCAGCAGCCGCGGUAAUACGGAGGAUGCGAGCGUUAUCCGGAUUUAUUGGGUUUAAAGGGUGCGUAGGUGGUGAUUUAAGUCAGCGGUGAAAGUUUGUGGCUCAACCAUAAAAUUGCCGUUGAAACUGGGUUACUUGAGUGUGUUUGAGGUAGGCGGAAUGCGUGGUGUAGCGGUGAAAUGCAUAGAUAUCACGCAGAACUCCGAUUGCGAAGGCAGCUUACUAAACCAUAACUGACACUGAAGCACGAAAGCGUGGGGAUCAAACAGGAUUAGAUACCCUGGCAGUCCACGCAGUAAACGAUGAUUACUAGGAGUUUGCGAUACAAUGUAAGCUCUACAGCGAAAGCGUUAAAGUAAUCCACCUGGGGAGUACGCCGGCAACGGUGAAACUCAAAAGGAAUUGACGGGGGCCCGCACAAGCGGAGGAACAUGUGGUUUAAUUCGAUGAUACGCGAGGAACCUUACCCGGGUUUGAACGUAGUCUGACCGGAGUGGAGACACUCUUUCUAGCAAUAGCAGAUUACGAGGUGCUGCAUGGUUGUCGUCAGCUCGUGCCGUGAGGUGUCGGCUUAAGUGCCAUAACGAGCGCAACCCUUAUCACUAGUUACUAACAGGUGAAGCUGAGGACUCUGGUGAGACUGCCAGCGUAAGCUGUGAGGAAGGUGGGGAUGACGUCAAAUCAGCACGGCCCUUACAUCCGGGGCGACACACGUGUUACAAUGGCAUGGACAAAGGGCAGCUACCUAGUGACAGGAUGCUAAUCUCCAAACCAUGUCUCAGUUCGGAUCGGAGUUUGCAACUCGACUCCGUGAAGCUGGAUUCGCUAGUAAUCGCGCAUCAGCCAUGGCGCGGUGAAUACGUUCCCGGGCCUUGCACU
Molecule: ribosomal RNA, 1096 nt
Filed under: uncultured bacterium
Lineage: Bacteria
Description: bacterial SSU rRNA
Rfam family: Bacterial small subunit ribosomal RNA
Source: RNAcentral